AGUAAAGUCAGCUAAAAAAGCUUUCGGGUCCAUACCCCGAACACGAUGGUUAAAAUCCAUCCUUUAUUA
This 69-nucleotide transfer RNA is filed under the name Poeciliopsis occidentalis (Gila topminnow). Its description in RNAcentral is "tRNA-Met". It matches the Rfam family "tRNA". Rfam says of the family: Transfer RNA (tRNA) molecules are approximately 80 nucleotides in length. Their secondary structure includes four short double-helical elements and three loops (D, anti-codon, and T loops). RNAcentral also lists the same sequence under 1 other name. Lineage: Eukaryota; Metazoa; Chordata; Actinopteri; Cyprinodontiformes; Poeciliidae. The record is from RNAcentral.